Molecule: ribosomal RNA, 220 nt
Filed under: uncultured bacterium
Lineage: Bacteria
Description: partial 16S ribosomal RNA
Rfam family: Bacterial small subunit ribosomal RNA
Source: RNAcentral
ACGCUCGACACCUACGGAGGCAGCAGUGAGGAAUAUUGGUCAAUGGGCGCAGGCCUGAACCAGCCAAGUAGCGUGAAGGAUGACUGCCCUAUGGGUUGUAAACUUCUUUUAUAUGGGAAUAAAGUUUUCCACGUGUGGAAUUUUGUAUGUACCAUAUGAAUAAGGAUCGGCUAACUCCGUGCUAGCACGCCGGCGGUAAUCUGAGGCGGGCUGGCAAGGC